UUUAUUAGAGCGUUUUCACUCCACCGCUGCCCUCAUCGUCAUUCUGUCUCCUCCUCCUCUCAUCCUCUUACUCCCCUUCAUCAUUGCCGCUGCCGUCAUUGCCAUUCUCUUCAAUUCUUGUGAGUUUUGAUUGAGCGAGGCGAUUUGAGGGGACUCUCUGCUCUUUCUCAAACUAGACAGCAAAGCUGCUUGUUGAUGCUUCUCAAUCAUCCGAACGACCAGUAUCUCUAACUCGCUUUGGAAUUUUCUUGGAGGUUCAUUUUGCUUCAUUCGUUUGGUCAUGAUCGAUUUUUGUUCCAACAGCUCUUGCUUAUUUUUGACUUUUGCUUAUUCUGUGUGUGGGCAUGUCCUCACUGAUUUAUUGGAGUUGGUUUUGGUUGCUGAGAGAAAAGAAAGAGAGAGAUAGAAACCAAAAAGAAGAGGCCAAUUUGCCAAUUGGGCUAUAAAAAUUUGAUGGUUUGUGAAAUUCAAUGUUGAAUUGAUGUGUUUUUGA
Molecule: long non-coding RNA, 493 nt
Filed under: Rosa chinensis
Lineage: Eukaryota; Viridiplantae; Streptophyta; Magnoliopsida; Rosales; Rosaceae
Description: sRNA RchiOBHm_Chr7g0200571
Source: RNAcentral